This 449-nucleotide ribosomal RNA is filed under the name uncultured bacterium. Its description in RNAcentral is "partial 16S ribosomal RNA". It matches the Rfam family "Bacterial small subunit ribosomal RNA", at positions 29 to 523 of the family's 1533-position model. The record is from RNAcentral.
AACGAACGCUGGCGGCAGGCCUAACACAUGCAAGUCGAACGCCCUAGCAAUAGGGAGUGGCAGACGGGUGAGUAACACGUGGGAACCUUCCCUAUAGUACGGAAUAGCCCAGGGAAACUUGGAGUAAUACCGUAUACGCCCGAGAGGGGAAAGAUUUAUCGCUAUAGGAUGGGCCCGCGUCGGAUUAGCUAGUUGGUGAGGUAAUGGCGCACCAAGGCAACGAUCCGUAGCUGGUUUGAGAGAAUGACCAGCCACACUGGGACUGAGACACGGCCCAGACUCCUACGGGAGGCAGCAGUGGGGAAUCUUGGACAAUGGGCGCAAGCCUGAUCCAGCCAUGCCGCGUGAGUGAUGAAGGCCUUAGGGUUGUAAAGCUCUUUUGGCGGGGACGAUAAUGACGGUACCCGCAGAAUAAGUCCCGGCUAACUUCGUGCCAGCCGCCGCGGUAA